UACAGAGGGGGCAAGCGUUAUUCGGAAUUAUUGGGCGUAAAGGGCGCGUAGGCGGUUCUUCAAGUCUCUCGUGAAAUCCCUCGGCUUAACUGAGGACGUGCGGGAGAUACUGAAGGGCUUGAGUCCGGAAGAGGGUGGUGGAAUUCCCAGUGUAGCGGUGAAAUGCGUAGAUAUUGGGAGGAACACCGGUGGCGAAGGCGGCCACCUGGGCCGGAACUGACGCUGAGGCGCGAAAGCGUGGGGAGCGAACAGG
This 253-nucleotide ribosomal RNA is filed under the name uncultured bacterium. Its description in RNAcentral is "partial 16S ribosomal RNA". It matches the Rfam family "Bacterial small subunit ribosomal RNA", at positions 524 to 776 of the family's 1533-position model. The record is from RNAcentral.